AUUAAUUUCAACUGCCGCGUUAUUUGUGUCACGGGGAUUUUGUGUCACAAAUGUCUAACGAAACUAACGAAAUUAUUACAUAAGUGUUUCUUCUCCGUUGGUUCACUUAAACAACAAAAAUGUAAACGGAUGGCUCGCGGCAUUUUUUU
RNAcentral lists this non-coding RNA (149 nucleotides) under Leptoteleia sp. ZL-2020. The record is from RNAcentral. Lineage: Eukaryota; Metazoa; Arthropoda; Insecta; Hymenoptera; Scelionidae.